GUCCACGCCGUAAACGAUGGGCACUAGAUGUGGGCGGUGUCGACUCCGCCCGUGUCGAAGCUAACGCAUUAAGUGCCCCGCCUGGGGAGUACGGCCGCAAGGCUAAAACUCAAAGGAAUUGACGGGGGCCCCGCACAAGCAGCGGAGCAUGUGGUUUAAUUCGACGCAACGCGAAGAACCUUACCUGGGCUUGACAUGUCCGUGUAAACCCUGGAAACAGGGUCCCUCUUCGGAGCGCGGUCACAGGUGGUGCAUGGCUGUCGU
This 264-nucleotide ribosomal RNA is filed under the name uncultured bacterium. Its description in RNAcentral is "partial 16S ribosomal RNA". It matches the Rfam family "Bacterial small subunit ribosomal RNA", at positions 793 to 1055 of the family's 1533-position model. The record is from RNAcentral.